GCACCAGUGGUCUAAUGGUAUGAUUUCGCCUUCCCAAGGCGGAUGCCCGGGUUCGAUUCCCGGCUGGUGCA
This 71-nucleotide transfer RNA is filed under the name Nanobdellota archaeon. Its description in RNAcentral is "tRNA-Gly". It matches the Rfam family "tRNA". Rfam says of the family: Transfer RNA (tRNA) molecules are approximately 80 nucleotides in length. Their secondary structure includes four short double-helical elements and three loops (D, anti-codon, and T loops). The record is from RNAcentral. Lineage: Archaea; Nanobdellati; Nanobdellota.